UCAUAUAACAAUCAGUGGAGAAGCCAACAGACUUUGCAAGAUCAUUGCCCGUCCAUGACUGGCCUUUGUCUAUAACUGGCAGGGAUUUCUCGAGUGUCAGCUGCAAUAUUUAGAUCUGGUUGGAGAGCUGGGCGCUGAGGCUGAAAGUCAAGAGAAACCCUGAACUUGGGGAAAAUAACUUUGUGGCGAAGAACCUUAGCCAAGUGAUCAAGGUCCCAGUCAUCCCUGCAGCCUGGCCGUGCCUUCUGUAAGCCUGUUGCAUCAUAAGCUCUCUGCCAGCAAAACUCCUGCAAUAGAAAACCAUCUGGAGAAGAGCCAGGCAAGGGCCUUGCCAUCGGUGUUCUGGGCGCUGGGAGUGAUCAUGCAGAGACCAGAGCAGCGGCAAAACAGGGACCAUUUUCUCCAACCUGCCUAUAGCUGCUGCCCUCGGGGCUUGCUCUGAUACCCUAUUUUUAAAAGCAGGCUCUUAGAAUAAUAAAACCAGAGAAUCCUUGAAUACAGAACCAUUGACUCUUAGAAUCAUAAGCUAUUAAGAGAAGAACCAUGAAAUUCCAGAAUCUUGGCAUUGGAAGUUACCUCCCAGGUCAAUGGGUCCUGUCUCCCCACCUAAGCAACAUGUAUUUCUUCUGAGGAAACUGGGUGCAACGACGAUGUGGCCACAACACCUUGUAGAUAUGGGACGAUGUCCAAGGUGGCCACAAAGGUUUCAGGAGAAGGAGGAGGCCCUAGAAACUCUUGACAAUGCCCUCAGCACUGCUUCCAAGGAGCUCCAGUCUUACAGACAGACCAUCCCUGAGAGAAACAAGAGAAAAUGGGAAAUUCUGACUUCUCUCUACUUCAGAACUAUGGACUAUUUUAGUUGGCAUUUUUGCCCCCUUCCAACUUUUUUUUGGCUUUGCUAUCUAAAACAAAUAAAUAAAAACAGCUGA
This 929-nucleotide long non-coding RNA is filed under the name Macaca mulatta (Rhesus monkey). RNAcentral's name for it is "lncRNA (ENSMMUG00000058628.1)". The record is from RNAcentral. Lineage: Eukaryota; Metazoa; Chordata; Mammalia; Primates; Cercopithecidae.